GAGUUUGAUCUUGGCUCAGAUUGAACGCUGGCGGCAGGCCUAACCACAUGCAAGUCGAGCGGUAGAGAGAAGCUUGCUUCUCUUGAGAGGCGGCGGACGGGUGAGUAAUGCCUAGGAAUCCUGCCUGGGUAGUGGGGGAUAACGCUCGGAAACGGACGCUAAUACCGCAUACGUCCUACGGGAGAAAGCAGGGGACCUUCGGGCCUUGCGCUAUCAGAUGAGCCUAGGUCGGAUUAGCUAGUUGGUGAGGUAAUGGCUCACCAAGGCGACGAUCCGUAACUGGUCUGAGAGGAUGAUCAGUCACACUGGAACUGAGACACGGUCCAGACUCCUACGGGAGGCAGCAGUGGGGAAUAUUGGACAAUGGGCGAAAGCCUGAUCCAGCCAUGCCGCGUGUGUGAAGAAGGUCUUUCGGAAUUGUAAAAGUCACUUUAAAGUUGGGAGGAAGGGCAGUAAAUUAAUACUUUAGCUGUUUUGACGUUACCGACAGAAUAAGC
RNAcentral lists this ribosomal RNA (497 nucleotides) under uncultured bacterium. RNAcentral's name for it is "bacterial SSU rRNA". It matches the Rfam family "Bacterial small subunit ribosomal RNA", at positions 9 to 491 of the family's 1533-position model. The record is from RNAcentral.